This 624-nucleotide ribosomal RNA is filed under the name uncultured bacterium. Its description in RNAcentral is "bacterial SSU rRNA". It matches the Rfam family "Bacterial small subunit ribosomal RNA", at positions 213 to 852 of the family's 1533-position model. The record is from RNAcentral.
UAUCGCUGGAAGAUGGCCUCGCGUCUGAUUAGCUAGUUGGUAGGGUAACGGCCUACCAAGGCGACGAUCAGUAGCCGGACUGAGAGGUUGGCCGGCCACAUUGGGACUGAGAUACGGCCCAGACUCCUACGGGAGGCAGCAGUGGGGAAUAUUGGGCAAUGGGCGCAAGCCUGACCCAGCAACGCCGCGUGAAGGAAGAAGGCUUUCGGGUUGUAAACUUCUUUUGUCAGGGAACAGUAGAAGAGGGUACCUGACGAAUAAGCUCCGGCUAACUACGUGCCAGCAGCCGCGGUAAUACGUAGGGAGCGAGCGUUGUCCGGAUUUACUGGGUGUAAAGGGCGUGUAGGCGGGAUUACAAGUCAGAUGUGAAAUUCCGGGGCUCAACCCCGGAACUGCAUUUGAAACUGUAGUUCUUGAGUACUGGAGAGGCAGGCGGAAUUCCUAGUGUAGCGGUGAAAUGCGUAGAUAUUAGGAGGAACACCAGUGGCGAAGGCGGCCUGCUGGACAGCAACUGACGCUGAGGCGCGAAAGCGUGGGGAGCAAACAGGAUUAGAUACCCUGGUAGUCCACGCUGUAAACGAUGGAUACUAGGUGUGCGGGGACUGACCCCCUGCGUGCCGCAGU